RNAcentral lists this long non-coding RNA (1376 nucleotides) under Mustela putorius furo (domestic ferret). RNAcentral's name for it is "lncRNA (ENSMPUG00000025207.1)". Lineage: Eukaryota; Metazoa; Chordata; Mammalia; Carnivora; Mustelidae. The record is from RNAcentral.
AUAAAAAGCAGCAAGAAGCUACUGCACCAUUGUGGCUUCUACAUAUCCACACAGAACACAUCAGCAGGAAGACGGAGCAUUUUAUUACUCAGGUUUCCUGUCAGGACAUCCUGGCUUGAAACACAGUUUUGUAACUGAAAAAUAGAGGAUAACCGACAGAUGCGAAACUGCCAGAUUGUGUCCCUGAGGCUCUCAGAAAUCUGUCAGCUUGCAAGGAGAACACAAAAGCAGGUAUGAAAAUCUGAGAGACAGUUUGCUUUGUUUUGUUUUAUUUUAUUUCCCAGGGAAGAAGAGCUUGGGACUAUGGAGACAUGAACUGAUUCAAGGAGUCUGGCCUGGGGAAGCCCUCAUGCACAGAUUCUGAGCAGACAGGGCCCUGUCUUAAAUGGCCUUGGACAUGGGGUACAAGCCUCACCACAUAAAGUGGUAGGUGAAACCAGGAAUGUAAAUUACUGAGCCUUGUUUAGCUACCAACCUUACCUCCUCCUCUGUUUCCCCAGCUUCAAAGAGAACGUAGGUGACCACAGCCUCUGACGUCUUGCAGGUUGGCACAGACGUCUGAGGGCCCGCUGUGCAUCUCUCCGCCUUGUUCCGGGCAAGGCCUCUCUUCCCUGCUACAAGAGCAGUCUGACCAAGGAAAUCAUGGAGCUCACCUGCCCUUAGUCAAGACCCACCCUGCCAUUCCCGUGCUGGGGCUUACUUCUAUGCUUCCCAGGAUGGCCAAAUCCCUUGUGUUCAGGUCUCCAAAAUGCUUUAGAACUCAAUCGAUUAGACUUAAAUUACAACCACUUUCCUUCCUGAGAUUGCUCUCAGUCAUCUAUCAGUGUUCGGGGUAUCCUCAAACUUUCAGGCAAUAAAUUUACAACUUCAGGGUUUCCUUUCCUGGUUAGCUAAUCAUCCAUUACAUGUGAUUUUACUGGGCUAAAGGCAAACAUUUCCUGUCACUUAGGUGUGCAGGCCGUAUUAGGCAAAGUAGCCCUGGGUCACGUAGGCCCAUGUGCUCUCGUGAGCAGAAGCUACCUGCCUUGCUCAAAACCAAGGAAUAUUUCCUUACCAAGCCCUGAGUUGUUGUUGUUGUUUUUUAAAGAUUUUAUUUAUUUAUUUGACAGAGAGAUAGAUCACAAAUAGGCAGAGUAGGGGCGCCUGGGUGGCUCAGUGGUUUAGGCCUCUGCCUUCAGCUCAGGUCAUGAUCUCAGGGUCCUGGGAUCGAGUCCCGCAUCGGGCUCCUUGCUCAGCAGGGAGCCUGCUUCCCCCUCUCUCUCUGCCUGCCUCUCUGCCUACUUGUGAUUUCUCUCUAUCAAAUAAAUAAAUAAAAAUCUUAGAAAAAAAAAAUAGGCAGAGUAGCAGGCUGAGAGAAGGAGAAGCAGGCUCCUUAC